This 535-nucleotide ribosomal RNA is filed under the name Aphanocladium album. Its description in RNAcentral is "eukaryotic LSU rRNA". It matches the Rfam family "Eukaryotic large subunit ribosomal RNA", at positions 66 to 626 of the family's 3401-position model. The record is from RNAcentral. Lineage: Eukaryota; Fungi; Ascomycota; Sordariomycetes; Hypocreales.
CAACAGGGAUUGCCCCAGUAACGGCGAGUGAAGCGGCAACAGCUCAAAUUUGAAAUCUGGCCUUCUGGUCCGAGUUGUAAUUUGUAGAGGAUGCUUUUGGUGAGGUGCCUUCCGAGUUCCCUGGAACGGGACGCCAUAGAGGGUGAGAGCCCCGUCUGGUUGGACACCGAGCCUCUGUAAAGCUCCUUCGACGAGUCGAGUAGUUUGGGAAUGCUGCUCAAAAUGGGAGGUAUAUGUCUUCUAAAGCUAAAUAUUGGCCAGAGACCGAUAGCGCACAAGUAGAGUGAUCGAAAGAUGAAAAGCACUUUGAAAAGAGGGUUAAAUAGUACGUGAAAUUGUUGAAAGGGAAGCACUUAUGACCAGACUUGGGCCCGGUGAAUCAUCCAGCGUUCUCGCUGGUGCACUUCGCCGGCCCAGGCCAGCAUCAGUUCGUCCCGGGGGACAAAGGCUUCGGGAACGUAGCUCCUUCGGGAGUGUUAUAGACCGUUGCGUAAUACCCUGGGGUGGACUGAGGUUCGCGCUUCCGCAAGGAUGC